CGCGUAGGCGGCCAGACAGGUCAGGUGUGAAAUCCCUUGGCUCAACCAAGGAAUUGCGCUUGAAACCGUUUGGCUAGAGUGCAGGAGAGGAGGGCGGAAUUCCUGGUGUAGCGGUGAAAUGCGUAGAUAUCAGGAAGAACACCGGUGGCGAAGGCGGCUCUCUGGACUGUAACUGACGCUGAGGCGCGAAAGCGUGGGGAGCGAACG
RNAcentral lists this ribosomal RNA (207 nucleotides) under uncultured bacterium. RNAcentral's name for it is "partial 16S ribosomal RNA". It matches the Rfam family "Bacterial small subunit ribosomal RNA", at positions 568 to 774 of the family's 1533-position model. The record is from RNAcentral.